CAAUGGUUGAGGAGGCUUUGAAGAUCAAUCCGGUGAUAGGAGCCGUGGCCGAACAGGCGAGACAGAUCCUCCAGGAGGAUAGAUGGGAUGUGUUCGGCAAGAGUAUUGCCCAGCUGUCGGCUGUCGCAUAUCAAGACGAACUGGAGCUCAUGGAGCACGCAGGAAAGAUCCUACUCAAGAUCGCGGCAGACGCGAAGACAGCUGGAACUGAUUGAAAACCCUCCUUCGGAGCUCUUCGGACGCAGCUUGUCCCUCGACGAUUCUCCUAACCAUCUUGUGGAUUCUGGGGAGAGGACAAGGACAAGAUUGCAUUAUUAUUUUAAUUAUGUCAACCCGAUUGAGAUCCAGAGAUAAGUUAUGGCUUCCCAUCUUAGACCACAACUCAGCUCUUUAUCUGCAUAAAAGAAACACCACCCGCCAGAUUAAAUUCACUUAAAUUCCAUCAUUUGUAUUAGGUCAAUGAAACUGCAUACAUAACAAGCUUAGACAUUUCCUCGAAUA
Molecule: long non-coding RNA, 501 nt
Organism: Bolinopsis microptera
Lineage: Eukaryota; Metazoa; Ctenophora; Tentaculata; Lobata; Bolinopsidae
Exons: 4
Source: RefSeq, a predicted model, not a curated record